Molecule: ribosomal RNA, 491 nt
Filed under: uncultured bacterium
Lineage: Bacteria
Description: partial 16S ribosomal RNA
Rfam family: Bacterial small subunit ribosomal RNA
Source: RNAcentral
GACGAACGCUGGCGGCGUGCUUAACACAUGCAAGUCGAACGGAAAGGCCCCCACUUUUUUGGUGGGGGUGCUCGAGUGGCGAACGGGUGAGUAACACGUGGGUGAUCUGCCCUGUACUUCGGGAUAAGCUUGGGAAACUGGGUCUAAUACCGGAUAGGACCAUGGUUUAGUGUCUCAUGGUGGAAAAAUUAUUGUUUUGGUGCAGGAUGAGCUCGCGGCCUAUCAGCUUGUUGGUGGGGUAAUGGCCUACCAAGGCGUCGACGGGUAGCCGGCCUGAGAGGGUGGACGGCCACAUUGGGACUGAGAUACGGCCCAGACUCCUACGGGAGGCAGCAGUGGGGAAUAUUGCACAAUGGGCGCAAGCCUGAUGCAGCGACGCCGCGUGGGGGAUGACGGCCUUCGGGUUGUAAACUCCUUUCGUUAGGGACGAAGCCGCACCUUUUUUGGGUGUGGUGGCGGUACCUUUGUUAAGAAGCACCGGCUAACUACGU